Molecule: long non-coding RNA, 855 nt
Filed under: Malus domestica (apple)
Lineage: Eukaryota; Viridiplantae; Streptophyta; Magnoliopsida; Rosales; Rosaceae
Description: long non-coding RNA (MDOM_LNC017628)
Source: RNAcentral
CAGUUUCCUCUUCCUUAUCAUCAUUCUUGCCCAACCCAAAAGUGCCUUUCACAGCAUCUGCAGCACCUUGUGCCAUGUGCUUCAUCUGCUCUCCAGUCUGCUGCAUGAUCCCUGAGGCUUUCUCUUUGCCGUACUGGGCGGUCUCUUUGGUCUUCUGGGCUGCCUCUUCUGCUUUCUGCUGGGCCGUCUCCUUGGUCUCCCAGGCCUUCUCUUUUGCUUGCUCCGCCUUCUCGGCGGUCUUGUCUUUCACCUGGUUCAUAGGGGCCUGUUUUCUGCCCUUGGCUGACUGGGCUGUCUCGUAUGUCUUGUCCCUUGUUGCUUGGGUUGUGUCAUAGGCCUUGUUCCGUUCUUCUUGUGCCUUGUUCCCCACUGUGCCCAUCACCUGGUUAGUUUUCUCCUAAAAGAUCAAGACAAAACUCGUUUAGGUUAGAUUAAAACAUUAAUUUGCAACAAUAAAAUAAAUAACUUCAACCACAAAUACAUGCAGAGCUAAACCACCAGAUACUACAAUUAAAAUUGUAAGUAUGAUAAAUACAAUAUGUAUACUAUAAACCCUUCCAUUAGGUCAUUGUAGAUAUAUAUUCUAAUUGCCCCUAAAAAAAUUAUUCUAUCAGAUAAUUGAGGUAAGAUGUAUCACACCGUCAAUCUAAAUUAGUUAAAAAAAAUUCAGGAUUAGAUUAAUAGCAUACCAUAACGCAAAAAACUUAAUAGAUUUGUGAAUAUUAUGUAUUAAGCAUAUGGACAUGCAUCACUAAUACCAGUUGCAAAACCAUACAAAAAAUGCACUAAUAUAUUUUAUUAAUCUACAAAUUAACUAUUUAAAUUAAAUCUCAAAAUUAUACACAUAAGUUAUCU